Molecule: ribosomal RNA, 468 nt
Filed under: uncultured bacterium
Lineage: Bacteria
Description: partial 16S ribosomal RNA
Rfam family: Bacterial small subunit ribosomal RNA
Source: RNAcentral
GAUGAACGCUGGCGGCGUGCUUAACACAUGCAAGUCGAACGGAAAGGCCCUGCUUUUGUGGCUUGCUCGAGUGGCGAACGGGUGAGUAACACGUGAGUAACCUGCCCUUGACUUUGGGAUAACUUCAGGAAACUGGGGCUAAUACCGGAUAGGAGCUCCUGCUGCAUGGUGGUGGUUGGAAAGUUUCGGCGGUUGGGGCUGGACUGGCGGCUUAUCGGCUUGUUGGUGUGGUAGUGGCUUACCAAGGCUUUGACGGGUACCCGGCCUGAGCGGGUGACCGGCGACAUUGGGACUUAGAUACGGCCGAGGCUGCGACGGGAGGCAGCAGUGGGGAAUAUUGCACAAUGGGCGGAAGGCGGAUGCAGAAACGCCGCGUGCGGGAUAACGGCCUUCGGGGUGUAAAACGCUUGCGCCUGUGACUAAGCGUGAGUGAAGGUAAUGGGUAAAGAAGGACCGGCUAACUAAGUG